AGCGAACGUUUGCGGCGGGCUUAACACAUGCAAGUCGAACGGGCUGUUCCUUCGGGGGCAGUCAGUGGCGCAUGGGUGCGUAACACGUAGGUAAUCAACCCUCUGGUUGGGGAUAACACUUCGAAAGGAGUGCUAAUACCCGGUAUGGCGCAGCGGUCUUCGGAUCGCGGCGAGAAAGACCCGCAAGGGUUGCCAGAGGACGAGCCUGCGGCCCAUCAGCUAGUUGGCGAGGUAACGGCUCACCAAGGCGAAGACGGGUAGCUGGUCUGAGAGGAUGAUCAGCCACACUGGAACUGAGACACGGUCCAGACUCCUACGGGAGGCAGCAGUGGGGAAUAUUGCGCAAUGGGCGAAAGCCUGACGCAGCCACGCCGCGUGAGCGAUGAAGGCCUC
This 393-nucleotide ribosomal RNA is filed under the name uncultured bacterium. RNAcentral describes it as "bacterial SSU rRNA". It matches the Rfam family "Bacterial small subunit ribosomal RNA", at positions 29 to 418 of the family's 1533-position model. The record is from RNAcentral.